GACGACGCUGGCGGCGUGCUUAACACAUGCAAGUCGAACGAGUGGCGAACGGGUGAGUAAUACGUGGUAACCUGCCUGAUGGAGGGGGAUAACUACUGGAAACGGUAGCUAAUACCGCAUACCAUCAGAUGUGCCCAGAUGGGAUUAGCUAGUAGGUGGGGUAACGGCUCACCUAGGCGACGAUCCCUAGCUGGUCUGAGAGGAUGACCAGCCACACUGGAACUGAGACACGGUCCAGACUCCUACGGGAGGCAGCAGUGGGGAAUAUUGCACAAUGGGCGCAAGCCUGAUGCAGCCAUGCCGCGUGUAUGAAGAAGGCCUUCGGGUUGUAAAGUACUUUCAGCGGGGAGGCGUUACCCGCAGAAGAAGCACCGGCUAACUCCGUGCCAGCAGCCGCGGUAAUAC
This 405-nucleotide ribosomal RNA is filed under the name uncultured bacterium. RNAcentral's name for it is "partial 16S ribosomal RNA". It matches the Rfam family "Bacterial small subunit ribosomal RNA", at positions 33 to 526 of the family's 1533-position model. The record is from RNAcentral.